RNAcentral lists this ribosomal RNA (586 nucleotides) under uncultured bacterium. Its description in RNAcentral is "partial 16S ribosomal RNA". It matches the Rfam family "Bacterial small subunit ribosomal RNA", at positions 355 to 1375 of the family's 1533-position model. The record is from RNAcentral.
UGGGGAAUUUUUGGACAAUGGGCGAAAGCCUGAUCCAGCAAUGCCGCGUGUGUGAAGAAGGCCUUCGGGUUGUAAAGCACUUUUGUCCGGAAAGAAAUCCUUGGCUCUAAUACAGUCGGGGGAUGACGGUACCGGAAGAAUAAGCACCGGCUAACUACGUGCCAGCAGCCGCGGUAAUACGUAGGGUGCAAGCGUUAAUCGGAAUUACUGGGCGUAAAGCGUGCGCAGGCGGUUUGCUAAGACCGAUGUGAAAUCCCCGGGCUCAACCUGGGAACUGCAUUGGUGACUGGCAGGCUAGAGUAUGGCAGAGGGGGGUAGAAUUCCACGUGUAGCAGUGAAAUGCGUAGAGAUGUGGAGGAAUACCGAUGGCGAAGGCAGCCCCCUGGGCCAAUACUGACGCUCAUGCACGAAAGCGUGGGGAGCAAACAGGAUUAGAUACCCUGGUAGUCCACGCCCUAAACGAUGUCAACUAGUUGUUGGGGAUUCAUUUCCUUAGUAACGUAGCUAACGCGUGAAGUUGACCGCCUGGGGAGUACGGUCGCAAGAUUAAAACUUAAAGGAAUUGACGGGGUCAUAGCUGUUUCCU